This 299-nucleotide unclassified non-coding RNA is filed under the name uncultured Agaricales. RNAcentral describes it as "sequence contains 5.8S rRNA gene, ITS2, 28S rRNA gene". The stretch from base 1 to 52 matches the Rfam family "5.8S ribosomal RNA", at positions 103 to 154 of the family's 154-position model. The record is from RNAcentral. Lineage: Eukaryota; Fungi; Basidiomycota; Agaricomycetes; Agaricales.
AACGCAUCUUGCGCUCCUUGGUAUUCCGAGGAGCAUGCCUGUUUGAGUGUCAUUAAAUUCUCAACUAUACUAAGUCUUAUCUUGGUGUAGCUUGGAUCAAUGAGGGCUUUUGCAGGCUUUUAUAAAAUAAAGUCAGCUCCCUUGAAAUUUAUUAGCAGUAUCUGAGCAGAGGGAUACUACUACAGGUGUGAUAAAUAUCUAUGCCUUAGACCUCUGUGAAUUAAGAUUGCACUGCUUCUAACUCCCAUAUAUUUGACAUGCUUGACCUCAAAUCAGGUAGGACUACCCGCUGAACUUAA